RNAcentral lists this ribosomal RNA (460 nucleotides) under uncultured bacterium. RNAcentral describes it as "partial 16S ribosomal RNA". It matches the Rfam family "Bacterial small subunit ribosomal RNA", at positions 338 to 795 of the family's 1533-position model. The record is from RNAcentral.
CCUACGGGUGGCAGCAGUGAGGAAUAUUGGUCAAUGGCCGAGAGGCUGAACCAGCCAAGUCGCGUGAGGGAAGAAUGUCCUAUGGAUUGUAAACCUCUUUUGUCAGGGAGCAAAGUCACCCACGUGUGGGUGUUGGAGAGUACCUGAAGAAAAAGCAUCGGCUAACUCCGUGCCAGCAGCCGCGGUAAUACGGAGGAUGCGAGCGUUAUCCGGAUUUAUUGGGUUUAAAGGGAGCGUAGAUGGGUUGUUAAGUCAGUUGUGAAAGUUUGCGGCUCAACCGUAAAAUUGCAAUUGAUACUGGCAGUCUUGAGUACAGUUGAGGUAGGCGUCAUUCGUGUUGUAGCGGUUCAAUGCUUCGCUCUCACGCAGCACCCCGAUUGCGAAGGCAGCUUACUAAACUGUGACUGACAUUGAUGCUCGAAAGUGUGGGUAUCAAACAGGAUUAGCUACCCCGGUAGUC